Molecule: non-coding RNA, 2437 nt
Organism: Ceratotherium simum simum (southern white rhinoceros)
Lineage: Eukaryota; Metazoa; Chordata; Mammalia; Perissodactyla; Rhinocerotidae
Source: RefSeq, a predicted model, not a curated record
UGCACUUUUAAUUUAGGAUUAUAAUUCUUGAUAAUGUUUCUGUGAGCCUUUAAUGUGAUUUAUAGGAAGGCUGGGUUAUUGAAAUCACCAUUAUACCUCUUCUGUAAAACUACUCCAAAAUUAGACCUGCUUGUUGGGGAGAAUUCUUGGACAGAAGGUCGAUGUUGCCCCCAUCCAUGGGGGCUUGAUAACGUUGUUGUUAAGUGGUCUUCCUCCAUAGGGGUCCUGCAGCCCCAAGGAUGAAAGCGCAGUAGGAAUUGAUAGCAGGCUUAUUGGGUACCUCAGUGUCUCUUGAAUGUGGUAUAUUGCUUUUGCCACCUCCCUAUCCAGCAGACAUGAAGCCAAACCAAAAGGUAGAUAUCUGGAAUGGAGGUGCGUUUUGUAAUCAAGGCAGAUAUUUGCCUUAAUUAAGGAUCAAACUGCUUUAUAAAUAUUAGAAAAGUGCUUUGGGCCUGAUUGGGAGAGGAGGCAGCUUAACUGGAAGUUAUGCCCAUUUUAAUAUUAUUGGAGAAUAGGAUGUCAGAGCUGAGAGGACCUGUACCCAUCUCCUGCAGUUUGCUUGUGGAGAAACCAAGGCCCUAAGAAACCGCAGUUCCUUGCCCAAGAAUCCAUAGAAAGAGGUAGCUAGUGGAAGAGUUAUGAUGCCAGCCUGAUGGUAUGGAUUCUAAGUUAAGUCUUCUAGCCUCUAGCAAUACUAAAAAUAGAUUAGAAGGGUUUCUUCUAUUUACUAUGUUGAAUUUUAUUUACUUAGUCUUAAAAUAUGAAAACAUGUUUUAAUGAGUUUUAGAUCUAGAUAUUUCUCUUGGAUUGAAGCAAAAAAUAAAGUCUGAAGGGAAAGAGUAUGAUUGAACUAUUUGUUCUUCUGAACACCUCACCUUUCAUGAUGCAAUAAAUUACUCUGAGUUUCUUGGCAGAACUUUUGACAGCUGUUGCUUUGAAUGGAUUCCAUUCCUGUAUUCCUUAUGGGAGUUUGUUUUUAAAAUAGACUACUGUGAUUGAAAUGAACUCAAUAUGUAGUAAAUUAUAGUUUUCUUCAAUACAUCUUUGGUUACUUGGGUUACAAAUGUUCAACUUCAGCAUAUUUGAGGGUGAGUAAUCAAAAACAUGAAUUUUCCUUUGAUUUCCUACCAGUGUUUGAACUAUCAUAAAGCAUUCUUCUCUUCAUAUGUGUCUUGAUUCUAUAGUCUGUUUCUAAAUGAUAUUUUUCUAUUUCUUAAAUGAUCUCACAACCAUGGUAAUAAUAGAUGUAUACUCAGAAAAUCAAUAAGAAAAUAAUCUGGAAUGGAUGUGUUUCUUGUGAUUAAAACAGGCAUUUGCAAAUGUCCUCUUCUAAGCAGUAGCUGGAAAGAUCUCAAUUACAGUAUAGCACCUUAGAGCUAAAAACAUUUGUUCAACACAAACUAGAAUCACACCUCCUGACUAGAUAUCACCAAGGGAAUGGGAUUUUAAAAAUGUAAAAAAAAAAAAAAAGAAUUCAAAUAUCAUAGCAACCAGAUCUUCCCAUAGUAUUGACAAGUACAACUCAGUAGGUUGUGGUUUGAACAUUAUGAAUGUGAACAAAAUGAACUAUCAGCUGAGAGAUCUUUUUCUCCUCUAGUUAAAUAGAACACUGGUAACUUGGUUUCUCUUUCAAACUGGUUUACUCUGUUUCAAGUAUACUCUUUUAACUCUGAUUUCAAAGGAUCACUUGAAUUUGCACUUUAGUUAUGGGUGUUUUGUUAUGGUUUUUUUGUAUCAUGACUCAGUGUGGUUCAACUUCCUACUAAGAAGUGGGGAUUUGGGUUUUUGGAGUCCUGAGGUGGCAUAUCUUGCUUCUCCUUGGGCACAGGCUAAGGGAGAGUGCCCACCAAUGCCAACAGAUCAGUCAUUGAUGGCAAUUUGAAAUGUGAAUCUUACUCCGUGAGCCACCCUGCUUUGCUUAUUUGCAGUGAGAAAUGCAUCUAGUUACGUGACCCUCCCAAGAGCAGUGGUAAGCACAGCAGACACGGAGGGCCAGACUUUAAAAACAAUGCAAGCGGAUUCUAAGAGGUGCUUCCCUUCCCAAAAAUAGGCUUUCAGAGGUUGCCUUACAAGCGUUCCCUGAAAUAGCCAGUCUGUUAAUGUGAGGAAGACAUCCCAGGUACACAGUUGCUUUUAGGCUUGUAUACUUAUUUUCUACAUUUGCUAAUACACUUGAUGAUAAAGGAACCUUUUCUAAAAGGCAUUGCAGGGUUUCAAUUGAGAGGACUUGUUCUAAUUACAGAAGCCUUGCUCUGCUCUCCAGUUGGGGAAUGUUCAUUUUUUUGUGUUUUGUGAAUUCUCCUGUCUUGCUCUAAGCUAAGUUCAUGGCUGUGGGAGGUUGGAGAAAGUGGGUUUAUGACUCUGAAGACCAGAGGACACUGGACUUUUAAGAGGGCUCGAAUUCGAAUUCGAGGGCUACAGCCCUUAAAUAUUUUUG